CACGUAGGGUCCGAGCGUUGUCCGGAGUUACUGGGCGUAAAGCGCGCGCAGGCGGUCGCGCACAUCGGCGGUGAAAGCCCCCCGCCUCAACGGGGGAGGGUCCGGUCGAGAUGGCGCGACUGGAGGCAGGGAGAGGGGCGGUGGGAAUUCCGGGUGUAGUGGUGAAAUGCGUAGAGAUCCGGAGGAACACCAGUGGCGAAGGCGGCC
RNAcentral lists this ribosomal RNA (207 nucleotides) under uncultured bacterium. RNAcentral's name for it is "partial 16S ribosomal RNA". It matches the Rfam family "Bacterial small subunit ribosomal RNA", at positions 524 to 728 of the family's 1533-position model. The record is from RNAcentral.